Molecule: long non-coding RNA, 588 nt
Organism: Solenopsis invicta (red fire ant)
Lineage: Eukaryota; Metazoa; Arthropoda; Insecta; Hymenoptera; Formicidae
Exons: 2
Source: RefSeq, a predicted model, not a curated record
CGGUCGCACGAUGUACUGCUGCCUGCCCAGCACCUGCAAGAAGAACGUGUCCGAGCGAUGAAGAAUAAGCGGCGGCGACACCCGCAAAAGAAGACACGCGUUCUCCGAAAAGGUGCUCUAUGAAAAAUAUAUUUGGCUCGGAGCACGUUUUUCGGUAUUCGGAUGCCAACUAUAUCGACACUGACAUCUCUUCAGGUCCGCCAGAUACAAUAUAUUUUUAAAGCACAUUCUUUUACGAGCUACACGUCUUUUACAGGCGUGUCCUUAACUCUGGAAACAAACAGAACUUGUGUUGUUUAAAUAAGUUGUAUAUGUAACACACGUCAUGAUUUCCGUUCGCUUUAGUGGCACUUUCCAUUCACUCCCGUCUCUUUUUGUCGAAUCGCAAAACAGCGAAUUCAGUCGCCUUGGGAUAAGCUUUCCGAGUCUCUCCCUUGAAUCACGAUCGCAUAACGCGACAUCACGAAUAUCGAUUCUUUCAAGAUUUCACUAUCAAAUUGUUAGACCAGUUUCCAUUGAGCUUCUUGAUAGAAACGUAAUUGUAAAUACAUAAAAAAAAAAAAAAUAAAUAAAUAAAAUUAUAUAUUU